RNAcentral lists this ribosomal RNA (253 nucleotides) under uncultured bacterium. RNAcentral's name for it is "partial 16S ribosomal RNA". It matches the Rfam family "Bacterial small subunit ribosomal RNA", at positions 524 to 776 of the family's 1533-position model. The record is from RNAcentral.
UACGUAGGUGGCGAGCGUUGUCCGGAUUUACUGGGCGUAAAGGGCGUGCAGGCGGUUUGUUAGGUGCAGGGUGAAAGCUCCCGGCUCAACUGGGAGAGGUCCUUGCAUACUGGCGAACUCGAGGGAGGCAGAGGAAAGUGGAAUUCCCGGUGUAGUGGUGAUAUGCGUAGAUAUCGGGAGGAACACCUGUGGCGAAGGCGGCUUUCUGGGCCUUACCUGACGCUGAGACGCGAAAGCGUGGGGAGCGAACCGG